This 145-nucleotide unclassified non-coding RNA is filed under the name uncultured Clavariaceae. Its description in RNAcentral is "sequence contains ITS1". The record is from RNAcentral. Lineage: Eukaryota; Fungi; Basidiomycota; Agaricomycetes; Agaricales; Clavariaceae.
UUGAUUUUUAAAGAUGUGCUGGCCUUUGGUAUGUGCACUCUUAAAAACCUAUCAUCCACCUGUGCACUCCAAGUAGGCAUAUAUGCCUAUGCUUUUUUUACACACCAUUGAUAUAUUUGAAUGCUUUGAUUAACCAAUUGUAAAA